RNAcentral lists this transfer RNA (75 nucleotides) under Streptomyces fructofermentans. RNAcentral describes it as "tRNA-Ala". The record is from RNAcentral. Lineage: Bacteria; Bacillati; Actinomycetota; Actinomycetes; Kitasatosporales; Streptomycetaceae.
GAGCGGCAGGGCGGCGAGCGGGCUCCUGCGGCGUUUGCGGCGCGGCCUGCGCCGUUCGGCCCGGCGGCCGGCUCC